Molecule: ribosomal RNA, 253 nt
Filed under: uncultured bacterium
Lineage: Bacteria
Description: partial 16S ribosomal RNA
Rfam family: Bacterial small subunit ribosomal RNA
Source: RNAcentral
UACGUAGGGUGCGAGCGUUGUCCGGAGUUACUGGGCGUAAAGAGCUCGUAGGUGGUUUGUCGCGUUGUUCGUGAAAACCGGGGGCUUAACCCUCGGCGUGCGGGCGAUACGGGCAGACUUGAGUACUGCAGGGGAGACUGGAAUUCCUGGUGUAGCGGUGGAAUGCGCAGAUAUCAGGAGGAACACCGGUGGCGAAGGCAGCACUCUGGGACGUGACUGACGCUGAGACGCGAAAGCGUGGGGAGCAAACAGG